This 494-nucleotide ribosomal RNA is filed under the name uncultured bacterium. RNAcentral's name for it is "partial 16S ribosomal RNA". It matches the Rfam family "Bacterial small subunit ribosomal RNA", at positions 28 to 507 of the family's 1533-position model. The record is from RNAcentral.
GACGAACGCUGGCGGCGUGCUUAACACAUGCAAGUCGAACGGUGAAGCGCCUUCCUUUUUGGUGGGUGUGGAUGAGUGGCGAACGGGUGAGUAACACGUGAGUAACCUGCCCCCUUCUUCUGGAUAACCGCAUGAAAGUGUGGCUAAUACGGGAUAUUCUGGGUCUGUCGCAUGAUGGGUCUGGGAAAGAUAUUGUUUCGGUGGGGGAUGGGCUCGCGGCCUAUCAGCUUGUUGGUGGGGUGAUGGCCUACCAAGGCGGUGACGGGUAGCUGGCCUGAGAGGGUGGACGGUCACACUGGGACUGGGACACGGCCCAGACUCCUACGGGAGGCAGCAGUGGGGAAUAUUGCACAAUGGGCGCAAGCCUGAUGCAGCGACGCCGCGUGAGGGAUGGAGGCCUGCGGGUUGUGAACCUCUUUCGCCAGUGAAGCAGGCCUGCCUCGUUUGUGGGUGGGUUGACGGUAGCUGGAUAAGAAGCGCCGGCUAACUACGUG